This 1020-nucleotide small RNA is filed under the name uncultured Frankineae bacterium. RNAcentral's name for it is "bacterial SSU rRNA". The stretch from base 1 to 492 matches the Rfam family "Bacterial small subunit ribosomal RNA", at positions 1045 to 1533 of the family's 1533-position model. Lineage: Bacteria; Bacillati; Actinomycetota; Actinomycetes; Frankiales. The record is from RNAcentral.
AUGGCUGUCGUCAGCUCGUGUCGUGAGAUGUUGGGUUAAGUCCCGCAACGAGCGCAACCCUCGUCCUAUGUUGCCAGCGGAUAAUGCCGGGGACUCAUAGGAGACUGCCGGGGUCAACUCGGAGGAAGGUGGGGAUGACGUCAAGUCCUCAUGCCCCUUAUGUCUUGGGCUGCAAACAUGCUACAAUGGCCAGUACAAAGGGUUGCGGGACCGCAAGGUGGAGCGAAUCCCAAAAAGCUGGUCUCAGUUCGGAUUGGGGUCUGCAACUCGACCCCAUGAAGUCGGAGUCGCUAGUAAUCGCAGAUCAGCAACGCUGCGGUGAAUACGUUCCCGGGCCUUGUACACACCGCCCGUCACGUCACGAAAGUAGGCAACACCCGAAGCCGGUGGCCUAACCCUUUUGGGAGGGAGCCGUCGAAGGUGGGAUCAGCGAUUGGGGUGAAGUCGUAACAAGGUAGCCGUACCGGAAGGUGCGGCUGGAUCACCUCCUUUCUAAGGAGCACUACUGCUCACUCGCUGUUGACAGCUGCCACGGCAGCGGUUGGAGCGAGGGAGAGCUCCCACGUCGAUCACUGGUCAGUCGGCUCGUCGAUCACUCCGACCCCGGCACCCCCCGUCAGUCCACCUCGCUUCGGCGUGGUGAGCUGGCGCACGGUGUCGGCACCACCGGAGCCCUCGAGUCGGUGCCGCGUCACUGUUCCGUUGUGAGGGAGUGGUCCCGGAUCCCCGUAUGGGGCUCGUCCGGACGCUCUCCUCGAGACCUGCGCCGUCGAGUUCCUCUGGCCGGCGUCCUCUGGACGCUGCCAUUGAAGGAAAUGCGGCUGGUCUCAACGCCCCUUGAGAACUGAAGAGCGAGCACGAGCAUCUAGAAAAGAGUGCAAGAAGUACUCCCAAGCUAUAAAGAGCCAACGGUGGAUGCCUUGGCGCCAGAUGCCGAUGAAGGACGUGGGUGGCUGCGAAAAGCCGCGGGGAGCUGUCGACCGAGCUUUGAUCCGCGGAUGUCCGAAUGGGGAAACCCGG